Molecule: unclassified non-coding RNA, 221 nt
Filed under: soil metagenome
Description: partial contains 5.8S ribosomal RNA, internal transcribed spacer 2, and large subunit ribosomal RNA
Source: RNAcentral
AACGCACGAGACCUGCGGACCUGCGGAGGGAUCAUUAAUGAGUUGCAAAACUCCCUAAACCAUUGUGAACCUACCUGUACCGUUCCUUCGGCGGGCGGCGUCAAGCCCUAACCCGUCUCCCUUUACGGGGGAUGGACCCGCCGGAGGCUCCUAAACUCUUAACUUUUGUUGGCAUCUCUGAGUAAAUCAAAAUAAGUCAAAACUUUUAACAAUGGAUCUCU